CUGUAAAGCUUCAGGGAAGGGAAAACCAUCAAAAUGAAGAUAACAGAGGGACAUAUUUCUUAGCUUUUGAGGAUCAAAUACCAGGUUCUGGUCAUAAAUCAAAGAUUUCAAAGAUCAGAUGAAAAGCUAGAAAUGCUUUUCUCCAGACCAGACAAGAGUCUUCAAAUACGAGCAAGAAAUGAGUCAGAAAAACUAAGGACACUGACAUGGUGGUGGAGACCCUGGGAAGCGAUCUGGAAAACCUUUACUACAUGCUCUGCAGCCCGGCAUCCCCAGGUGGGACAGCCGUGGAACUCCCAGACAGGGUUGGAGGUGGGAAAUCAGGCCCAAAAGAGGAAGUGGGAAGAGCACCCAUGUGAAGCCACAAGAAGUGGGGAAGUAACCUACUUUGCAUCCACGGUCGGCUCUUGUUGAGCUCAAGAAACCGCAUAGGACCUACCAGCUGCCUAGGAAAACAGCAGAUCCCAGAUGUACCACUUACAGUUGUCUCUAUCUUCAGAUAAUUGACUCCAGAACUCUGUGUAAAUACAAAAUCCCGGGAUGCUCCGGUGCUGCAGGUAAAGUGGUGUAUUUGCACAUAGCAUAUCCAGUCUUCCUGUAUACUUUAACUCAUCCUUAAACUACUUCUAAUACCAUAUAAAUGUUGCAUAAGAGUUGCUACACUGUGAGGUCUAGGAAAUGACGGCAAGGAAAAGCCACCUGGACCUCUGAGUAUCGAUGCUACCUUCUUAGGCCAUAGUACACAAUCCUUGGUUAGUUGAAUGGAUAGAUUCAGAUCCCAUAGAUGCACAAGGCCUUUCUUGCAGGGUUCCCACUCCUGGAAUUCCAUUAGGAUUCAUUGCUAGAAGGCAUCAGCUGACACAGUUUACUUAGUUCUUCCCUGUCCUUGGAGAGGGUUACACUCGACCCAAAAAUACCUGCUUUGUUACCAUCUCUCACUGCUGAAUUGGAGCAGAGUGGGGGCUUCACUGCCAUGGAGUUGACUGGAUUAUUUCAUCUCUGUGGUCCCUGGCCUUGGAUUUGCCAUAACCAGGGUGUUUCUGGUCCUUUCAACUACUCUGCCAUAAAAAAGAUGAGAUGAACUUGAGAUAUUCAGAGGUAAAUGGAUGCACCUUGGGACCAUAAUAUUAAGUGAAAUAAAUCAGAUUCACAAGCUUAAACAUCACAUGGUUCCUCUUAUAUGAGACACCAAAAGUAUAAAUCCUGUAAAGAGCAAAACAAAGGGAAGAUAACAGAAAGUAGGGAGAGCUUUCUCAAAUGGGAAGGGGAACAAGAGAUAGAGGGAGGAGGAGAGAUAAAGGGGAUAGAAAAAAAGAAUUGAAGAAGUGGAAAUAGCACUUUGGCAAAUGGGAAGGGAAC
This 1359-nucleotide long non-coding RNA is filed under the name Chinchilla lanigera (long-tailed chinchilla). RNAcentral describes it as "lncRNA (ENSCLAG00000023467.1)". Lineage: Eukaryota; Metazoa; Chordata; Mammalia; Rodentia; Chinchillidae. The record is from RNAcentral.